RNAcentral lists this ribosomal RNA (365 nucleotides) under uncultured bacterium. Its description in RNAcentral is "bacterial SSU rRNA". It matches the Rfam family "Bacterial small subunit ribosomal RNA", at positions 29 to 384 of the family's 1533-position model. The record is from RNAcentral.
AACGAACGCUGGCGGCGCGCCUAAUACAUGCAAGUCGAGCGAGAAGACGUAGCAAUACGUUUGUAAAGCGGCGAACGGGUGAGGAAUACAUGGGUAACCUACCCUCGAGUGGGGAAUAACUAGCCGAAAGGUUAGCUAAUACCGCGUACGCUCCUUGGACUUCGGUUCAGGGAGGAAAGCGAUACCGUGGGUAUCGCGCUCUUGGAUGGGCUCAUGUCCUAUCAGCUUGUUGGUGAGGUAACGGCUCACCAAGGCUUCGACGGGUAGCUGGUCUGAGAGGACGAUCAGCCACACUGGCACUGCGACACGGGCCAGACUCCUACGGGAGGCAGCAGUAAGGAAUAUUGCGCAAUGGGCGAAAGCCU